GCUGCGCGCGCGGCUGCUCGAGGCUUUGCGGUAGCGCCGCGCGCGGUGCCCGGCGGCGAGCGCGGCCCCGGCCAUGGAGCGCGGCGCGCGGCGCGGCGGCCGGCUGCUGGCGGCGGCUCUCUGCUUCCCUGCAGCCUGGAGGAGCCUGUGGGAGCAUGGCCCCAGGGCUGGCAGCAGCAGCGGGUGGCUUUGCUGUGGGGACAGCAGGGGGGCAGCUGGCCCUGCAGCACACAGGCCGCAGGGGGCCAGGCCCUUCCUGCUGCGCGCAGCC
This is a long non-coding RNA of Dryobates pubescens (Downy woodpecker), 271 nucleotides long. RefSeq lists it as uncharacterized. The transcript is spliced from 3 exons. The record is from RefSeq and is a predicted model, not a curated record. Lineage: Eukaryota; Metazoa; Chordata; Aves; Piciformes; Picidae.